AACGAACGCUGGCGGCAUGCCUAACACAUGCAAGUCGAACGAGAUCUUCGGGUCUAGCGGCGCACGGGUGCGUAACGCGUGGGAAUCUGCCCUUUGGUUCGGAAUAACAGUUGGAAACGACUGCUAAUACCGGAUGAUGACGAAAGUCCAAAGAUUUAUCGCCAGAGGAUGAGCCCGCGUAGGAUUAGCUAGUUGGUGUGGUAAAGGCGCACCAAGGCGACGAUCCUUAGCUGGUCUGAGAGGAUGAUCAGCCACACUGGGACUGAGACACGGCCCAGACUCCUACGGGAGGCAGCAGUGGGGAAUAUUGGACAAUGGGCGAAAGCCUGAUCCAGCAAUGCCGCGUGAGUGAUGAAGGCCUUAGGGUCGUAAAGCUCUUUUACCCGGGAUGAUAAUGACAGUACCGGGAGAAUAAGCUCCGGCUAACUCCGUGCCAGCAGCCGCCGUAA
RNAcentral lists this ribosomal RNA (449 nucleotides) under uncultured bacterium. RNAcentral's name for it is "partial 16S ribosomal RNA". It matches the Rfam family "Bacterial small subunit ribosomal RNA", at positions 29 to 523 of the family's 1533-position model. The record is from RNAcentral.